RNAcentral lists this ribosomal RNA (330 nucleotides) under uncultured eukaryote. Its description in RNAcentral is "partial 18S ribosomal RNA". It matches the Rfam family "Eukaryotic small subunit ribosomal RNA", at positions 1470 to 1796 of the family's 1831-position model. The record is from RNAcentral.
CCCUUAGAUGUUCUGGGCUGCACGCGCGCUACACUGAUGCAUCCAGCGAGUUGUAACCUUGCUUGGUAAAGUUUGGUAAUCUGAGCCUAAUGUGCAUCGUGAUGGGAAUAGAGUUUUGCAACUAUUAGUCUUGAACGAGGAAUUCCUCGUAAGCACGAGUCAUCAGCUUGUGCUGAUUACGUCCCUGCCCUUUGUACACACCGCCCGUCGCUGCCCGGGACUGAGCCGUUUCGAGAAAAGCGGGGACUGCUGCUGUCGGGGCUUUCGGGCCUUGGCUUCGGUGGAAACCGCUUUAAUCGCAGUGGCUUGAACCGGGCAAAANUCGUANCA